CAGUAACGGCGAGUGAAGCGGCAACAGCUCAAAUUUGAAAUCUGGCUCCUUCGGGGUCCGAAUUGUAAUUUGUAGAGAGUGCUUCGGGCGAGACCUCGGUCUAAGUCCAUUGGAACAUGGUGUCAUAGAGGGUGAGAAUCCCGUAUGCGACCGUGGCUCGAGCCCAUGUGAAGCCUCUUCGACGAGUCGAGUUGUUUGGGAAUGCAGCUCAAAAUGGGUGGUAAAUUUCAUCUAAAGCUAAAUACUGGCUGGAGACCGAUAGCGCACAAGUAGAGUGAUCGAAAGAUGAAAAGCACUUUGGAAAGAGAGUCAAACAGUACGUGAAAUUGUUGAAAGGGAAGCGCUUGCAACCAGACCUGCCCGUAGGCGAUCAGCCGCUGUUCUCAGCGGUGUACUCGCUCUGCGAUCAGGCCAGCAUCGGUUUCGGCGGUCGGAUAAAGACCUUGGGAAUGUAGCUUCCCUCCGGGGAAGUCUUAUAGCCCUCGGUGUAAUGCGGCCAGCCGGGACCGAGGACCGCGCUUCGGCUAGGAUGCUGGCGUAAUGGUUGUAAGCGACCCGUCUUGAAACACGGACCAAGGAGUCUAACAUCUAUGCGAGUGUUUGGGUGUCAAACCCAUGCGCGGAAUGAAAGUGAACGGAGGUGAGAACCCUCAAGGGCGCAUCAUCGACCGAUCCAGAUGUCUUCGGAUGGAUUUGAGUAUGAGCAUAGCUGUUGGGACCCGAAAGAUGGUGAACUAUGCCUGAAUAGGGUGAAGCCAGAGGAAACUCUGGUGGAGGCUCGCAGCGGUUCUGACGUGCAAAUCGAUCGUCAAAUUUGGGUAUAGGGGCGAAAGACUAAUC
RNAcentral lists this ribosomal RNA (840 nucleotides) under Xanthoparmelia planilobata. RNAcentral's name for it is "partial large subunit ribosomal RNA". It matches the Rfam family "Eukaryotic large subunit ribosomal RNA", at positions 81 to 936 of the family's 3401-position model. The record is from RNAcentral. Lineage: Eukaryota; Fungi; Ascomycota; Lecanoromycetes; Lecanorales; Parmeliaceae.